RNAcentral lists this ribosomal RNA (301 nucleotides) under uncultured bacterium. RNAcentral's name for it is "partial 16S ribosomal RNA". It matches the Rfam family "Bacterial small subunit ribosomal RNA", at positions 509 to 807 of the family's 1533-position model. The record is from RNAcentral.
CAGUAGCCGCGGUAAUACGUAGGUGGCAAGCGUUGUCCGGAAUUAUUGGGCGUAAAGGGCUCGCAGGCGGUUUCUUAAGUCUGAUGUGAAAGCCCCCGGCUCAGCCGGGGAGGGUCAUUGGAAACUGGGAAACUUGAGUGCAGAAGAGGAGAGUGGAAUUCCACGUGUAGCGGUGAAAUGCGUAGAGAUGUGGAGGAACACCAGUGGCGAAGGCGACUCUCUGGUCUGUAACUGACGCUGAGGAGCGAAAGCGUGGGGAGCGAACAGGAUUAGAUACCCCCGUAGUCCCUGUCUCUUAUAC